GCUCGCAAAAAAAGUCAUCGCAAAAAAAAGGCCACUCGUGCCUUAUCCAUCUCGCUCCGACCACUCGUGCCUCCACGCCGCUUGAUCCACCCCGACGCCGCCCUUGAUCUUCGCCGCCGCCGCCCCCUUCUGCGCCGGCGCCGCCCUCGCCCGGGCCGCAUCGUGGCGUUCCCGCCCUGCACCGCGCGCCCCCGUCCCCGCCCUGCACCGCGCGCCCCCGUCUCCGCUCCGCACCACCGCCGUCCUUCCCCGUCCCGCACCGCCGCCGUCCGUCCCCGCCCUGCACUGCCGCCGGCCGUCCCCGCCCGCCCCGCAUCGCCGUCGGCCGUCCCCGCCCGGCCCCAUCCCCGCACCGGCCCGGUCGUCCCUGCCCCCUUCCCGGCCCCGUCAUCCACACCCCCUUCCUGCCCCGCAGCUGCUGGUGAGGUGGCCGUGGCCGCGGCUCCGGCGGUCCGGCGCCCCCUUGCCGGCCCUCUGCUACUGGCUUUCUGGUGUUGCAUAUCUUUGGAGUCAUCGUCAUCGAAGGCAUUGGUCUGUGAUUUCGUCGCUGUUUGACUACUUCGUCUACAGUCGAGGGUUUGUGGAACAUGGGCAAGGGGAAGGCUGACGGCGUGGGUUUCCUACGCAAGGUCGUCAACAAGCCUAGGCUUCGGCGGACUUGGCGGUGGUGGUGGAUGUCCUGGCGCUUAAGCCUUUGGGUGACCGUGGUGGUGAUCAUAAACUUGUGGUCUUUAGAUGACUUGUGGUCUUUUAGAUGACUUGUGAUCUUUUAGAUGACUUGUGUGCUUCUUUAGAUGCUUAUGUUUGUGAUGAUGGUUAUGUUUGUCAUGAUACUUAUAUUGUUGUGAUGGUGUUUGUUGUGAGGAUGAUACUUAUAUAUGUUGUGUAUGUCUAUUUCAUCAUAUAUAUAUGCUGUGAAUUUGAAUUGAAACCAAA
Molecule: ribosomal RNA, 936 nt
Filed under: Triticum aestivum (bread wheat)
Lineage: Eukaryota; Viridiplantae; Streptophyta; Magnoliopsida; Poales; Poaceae
Description: partial small subunit ribosomal RNA
Source: RNAcentral